Molecule: transfer RNA, 65 nt
Filed under: Paranauphoeta circumdata
Lineage: Eukaryota; Metazoa; Arthropoda; Insecta; Blattodea; Blaberidae
Description: tRNA-Pro
Source: RNAcentral
CAGAGUGUAGUUUAUAAAAAUAUUAAUUUUGGGAAUUAAUGAAAAGGAAAAUUCUUUCUCUCUGA